AAGAGAGUAGCUAAAAAAGCGAUAUAAUGUAAAUAUAUAGAUGAGUUUCUCCCUCUUCUUUG
RNAcentral lists this transfer RNA (62 nucleotides) under Chelopistes texanus. RNAcentral describes it as "tRNA-Tyr". The record is from RNAcentral. Lineage: Eukaryota; Metazoa; Arthropoda; Insecta; Psocodea; Philopteridae.